UAUGUUUUAAAAAGAUAUGAAUAUGGUCAUAUUCUGCAUGCAACGACCCAACCCCUGAUGCCUAUAUGGAAUUAUGAAUCAUCACAUGUAAAAUAGAAGCUCACAAAAAUUUCUAUGUAUAUUACAGGAUCCCGCAAAAAAAGAAUCCACCAUCUCACCACCAUCACCAAAAUCACCAAGCCUGGGGGGAGGAGUCCUCACAGACACCUACUCAGGCAAAGAAAACGGAACAAAAAAAUCGCUCACUCUUCCCCUCGGCCACCCAGCCUGUGUGGACUCCAAAUAUGAAGAUGGAGGGUGCCACAGGCAUACACACACUCUUCAUUUACUGCAUGGCAACCGACAUCGACACACACAGGAAAUUAGCACCGUCGGCUAACGGCUCUAUAACAUCCCUUCAUCCUUGUAUGAUCCAUCUCGAUCUACUCAUCUUCUCUAGUUCGCCUCCUCACUUGUGUCACACCUCUCAUGCCCCCCGCCCGGAGCCUCCCAGCGAUGCGUCGUGAUGGCUCAUGCUGCCACCGCCGGCUCAUGCGGCCUCCCUUGACGUCCUCCUCCUCCUUCUUCAGUCAAGGGACUCGUCACACCAAUAUUGGAACUCAUUUCCUGAUUUCAUCAAAAGGUUAGGUAAGACAAAUAUCUGCUAGGCGAUCGACACAGGGAGGAAAGACCAAAAGGAAAAAAUCGAAGUAUUCAGUUCAACCAUCAAUUUGCAAAAUCACUAUGCCAGUAAUAAGUCUAUUUUUACAAAAAAAUAUUUCUAUUACUCAAUGAUUGUUACAUCAUUAACUAAUAAAGGUACAUGCUAUUUAGGUGGAUUAUCCAACAAAAUUCAAGGAGAAGUAAAUUUGGUUUCCCUAGCAAGCUCAUGGGCCGCAAGAUUUGCUUCCCAAGAGAAAUGUUCAACCUUCAAAAAAAAUCUUGAACAACUCUGUGUGCAUAUGGUAGCAGUCCUCACGAAUCAAGUUAGUACCUUGCAUGAAGUCACUCUUCUUCGUCCAAAAAGUCAUUGUCUUGACUGCUACUAUCUGUGUUGGCCACAGCAUCGGUUUGAAC
This 1056-nucleotide long non-coding RNA is filed under the name Triticum aestivum (bread wheat). Its description in RNAcentral is "long non-coding RNA (TAES_LNC021435)". The record is from RNAcentral. Lineage: Eukaryota; Viridiplantae; Streptophyta; Magnoliopsida; Poales; Poaceae.